AUUCUUACCUGGCAGGGAGAUGCCGUGAUCCCGAAGGUGGGUUCCCGGGGGAUCUCCCCAAAGGCGGGAAACUCGACUGUGGGAUUUGUGGAAGUGGGGGACUGCGUUCGUGCUCCCCCCAC
RNAcentral lists this small nuclear RNA (122 nucleotides) under Suricata suricatta (meerkat). RNAcentral describes it as "U1 spliceosomal RNA (ENSSSUG00005004619.1)". It matches the Rfam family "U1 spliceosomal RNA". From Rfam's summary of the family: U1 is a small nuclear RNA (snRNA) component of the spliceosome (involved in pre-mRNA splicing). Its 5' end forms complementary base pairs with the 5' splice junction, thus defining the 5' donor site of an intron. The record is from RNAcentral. Lineage: Eukaryota; Metazoa; Chordata; Mammalia; Carnivora; Herpestidae.